AGCGCACCUCAAUGAACCUUAUUGGUGCACUGUGAGCGACCAUCAUCUGUCCACUGGAUUCCCAUUGCCAGCUUCCCGAACGAACAUAUGUAUUUGCCUAGCUUCUUCCCAAGGAGUUGAACAGAAAGGUUCUUGGUGGCAAAAAUGGCACAAAUCUUGGUGCUGUUGUUACUGUGGCUGCUCGACACAUCAUCCGCGGGAUUUCCUAAUCAGAUUAAUAUCGGGGGUCUCUUCAUGCGCUCCACGGUGCAGGAGCACAGCGCCUUCAGGUUUGCGGUGCAACUCUACAACACCAACCAAAACACCACCGAGAAGCCUUUCCACCUCAACUACAACGUGGACAACCUGGAGUCCUCCAACAGCUUCUCGGUCACCCACGCGUUUUGCUCCCAGUUCUCCCGCGGUGUGUACGCCAUCUUCGGAUUCUACGACAAAAAGUCCAUGAACACCUUGACGUCCUUCUGCGGAGCGCUGCAUACCUCCUUCGUCACACCCAGUUACCCCACCGACAACGAGGUGCAAUUUGUCAUCCAGAUGCGUCCUGCGCUACGAGGAGCGGUCCUAAGUCUGAUCUCGCACUACAAGUGGCAGAAGUUUGUCUACCUCUACGACACGGACCGAGGCUUUUCCAUAUUGCAGGCCAUCAUGGAGGCAGCGGUGGCCAACAACUGGCAGGUGACCGCUCGCUCCGUCAGCAGCGCCACGGAUGCGGCAGAGUUCAAACGCAUCAUCGAGGAGAUGGACAGGAGGCAGGAAAAGCGCUUUGUGAUCGACUGUGAGGUGGACAGGAUCAACAGCAUAUUAGAGCAGGUUGUGGCCCUGGGGAAGAACAGUCGCGGCUACCACUACAUUCUGUCCAAUCUUGGAUUUUCAAACGUGAGUUUGGACAAAGUCUUUGCUGGAGGAGCCAACAUUUCAGGGUUUCAGAUAGUCAACCCUGAGAACCCUAUUGUGCAGCAGUUUAUGCAGCGCUGGGAGCGGCUAGAUGAAAGAGAAUUCCCAGAAGCCAGGAAUGCUCCUCUGAAGUACACUUCAGCGCUGACACAUGAUGCCAUCCUGGUAAUAGCAGAGGCCUUCCGCUACCUGCGGCGUCAACGUGUGGACGUCUCUCGCCGCGGCAGCGCCGGAGACUGCCUUGCCAAUCCUGCUGUACCUUGGAGCCAAGGCAUCGACAUCGAGAGAGCUCUGAAAACGGUCAAAGUGAAGGGGAUGACAGGCAACAUCCAGUUUGACAACUAUGGCCGUCGAACCAACUACACCAUAGAUGUGUAUGAGAUGAAAUUAGGUGGGCCAAGAAAGAUCGGGUACUGGAACGAGUUCACACGCUUUGUAAAUAUAAUGGAUCCGCAGGUCACCAACGACUCCUCAGUGGAAAACCGAACGAUUGUGGUCACUACUAUUAUGGAAGCUCCUUAUGUGAUGUACAAGAAAAAUUAUAUGCAUCUGGAGGGGAAUGACAGAUAUGAAGGCUACUGCGUCGAUUUAGCAUCUGAGAUUGCCAAACAUGUUGGAAUUAAGUACAAACUGUCUAUAGUAAUGGAUGGGAAGUAUGGAGCCCGAGACCCCGAGACCAAGGCGUGGAACGGGAUGGUGGGUGAACUGGUCUAUGGGAGAGCAGAUAUAGCUGUCGCACCUCUCACCAUUACUCUGGUUCGAGAGGAAGUGAUAGACUUUUCCAAGCCAUUUAUGAGUUUGGGCAUCUCCAUUAUGAUAAAGAAGCCUCAAAAGUCCAAGCCCGGCGUUUUCUCCUUCCUGGACCCACUGGCCUAUGAGAUCUGGAUGUGUAUAGUGUUUGCCUAUAUUGGGGUGAGCGUGGUUCUGUUCCUGGUCAGUCGGUUCAGUCCUUACGAAUGGAACCUCGAGGAACAGGAUGAGACCAAAGACCCUCAGAUGCCCCCUGACCCUCCCAAUGACUUUGGGAUCUUCAAUUCUCUCUGGUUCUCUUUGGGCGCCUUCAUGCAGCAGGGCUGUGACAUCUCCCCAAGGUCUCUCUCAGGCCGUAUAGUCGGUGGUGUUUGGUGGUUCUUCACCCUCAUCAUCAUCUCAUCCUACACAGCCAAUCUGGCUGCCUUCUUGACAGUGGAGAGGAUGGUCUCUCCUAUAGAGAGUGCCGAAGAUCUGGCAAAGCAGACGGAGAUAGCAUAUGGCACUCUGGACUCAGGUUCCACUAAAGAGUUUUUUAGGCGAUCCAAAAUAGCCGUAUACGAGAAGAUGUGGUCGUACAUGAAAUCAGCCGAGCCCUCUGUGUUUGUUAAGACCACACCCGAUGGCGUGGCCCGGGUACGAAAGUCAAAGGGCAAGUUCGCCUUUCUCCUGGAGUCCACCAUGAACGAGUACAUAGAGCAGCGGAAGCCCUGCGACACCAUGAAAGUGGGUGGGAACCUCGACUCCAAAGGCUACGGAGUGGCGACGCCCAAAGGCUCAGCAUUAAGAAAUGCUGUUAACCUGGCAGUUUUAAAACUGAAUGAGCAAGGCCUCUUGGACAAAUUGAAAAACAAAUGGUGGUACGACAAGGGAGAGUGCGGCAGCGGGGGAGGUGACUCCAAGGUCAGCCUCGAUGUCACCACAAUCGGGUACUACAGUGCAGAGUAAUCGGCAAGGCUGUUAUAGCAACCCAACCAGAACCGAACCAAAUGUCCACCCCAAACAACCUGCUGCUGCCCUACGGCACGUCACCAAAUUGACUGAUGGUCUGACCGGACGGUUUAACACCUCAGCUCAAACAAAGGAGCCCUGCUUAGCAAACAGGAGAUUAGUGGCAACAUGAAUCAAUUUAUGACGUGAAUAAGCUGCCCUGCAGUUAUGAAAGUUUGGCGGUCUUUAUUCAUGCUUACAGAUCUGCGUGGCAGCUCAUCUCAUCCGGGACAUUAGGUCCAUCUAGCAUUCUGGAAAUGUAAUUAGUAAUCUGAUUCAUGCAUUUAUGAACCAAUUUUUAAAUAUUUUUUAUGGAAGUUGUUCACAUUUCUAGCAUAUGUUUUGGAGUCUUGGGAACGAUAGCUCUUGUUUAAUUGAACCAAUGGGAUCAAUCAUUCCCGGUAGCAAAAUGGCUUCAUGGAGGCCAUCAGCAAAGCAAGGGGAACAGCGGCGUCUUGAGGGGACUAAGCAUUGCACAAUGCAACGUGAGAAUUCUAAUUAACAUUUCAAGGCUUGUGAUUUCUUUUUAAUAGAUCAUGCAAUGAAAUACCUUUGGUCUGAUUCCACCAUUGAGCUCAUUAAUAACCCGGCAUUGACCCUUUUGAUCGCACCCUGCUAUCUUCUUUCGUGGCUAAAUGAUGAAUGAUAUUCCCAUUACAGAAACUAAUGGUGCAACUAUUAAGCCCUGCUCAAGCAUGACAACUAAGUAUAACAUUGCUUAGAUGAUGUGCAAUUGUAUGGUACUUCAUUCACUGCAUUACAUUUGGGACAGCGGCAUUAUAGUCUUGCAGGUCAAUGUAAGGACAAAAGAUGCUGUCACCUCAAAUAGGAUGAUAUAGGUCAAGUAAUUGGUUCGAUUAUAUGCAACCUGAAAAGCUCCGUGAACCACAGCUGUGUUAUUACACCCUUAACAUUAUUUGUCACGGAUUGGCCUUGACCACAAUUAGCAAUUAAGCAGGACCCAGUCUGUCUGGAAAACAGUGGGUUAGUUUUUUACCGAGUGCCUGCCUGCACAACAGAAAUUAUGUAAAUAGAAAGUCAAUUGAGAUUUACUCUCAUGGAGCGCACAUGUCCCACUUUAUACUAUCGUUGAUGGUUUAAACUCUUAGAACACACACACAGUGCACUAAUUAGCACGAUAUAUAUAUAUAUAUUUGUUUUUUUAUUACUGUGGAAAAUCAUCACUACCAUAAAUUUAUUACUGGCUUUCCCAACGACAUUGUUUGCACAGUAGAGGAGCCAGUUAUGACUCCAACCAAAAAAAAGACAACGAUGUGUUAAGCGGUUCUUUCUUUCAGAAAGUGUUACUCAAACAAAAGAUGUGGAAAAGGUCACUAUAAGAUAUAUGGAGGUUCUUCCAUAGCGAGUCAUGCAGAACAGCUUCAGUAGGGCUGGAAAUGUGCAUAAUGUGUCCCCAAGCCACGCCAUAAAUCAAAGCCAAAGCAUAGAUUAACUAUUCCCUCUUGAGUCAUAUUUUUGCACUAUUUGCAUUGUUAAUGAUGCUAUGUCGCUAAGCUCAUUAACAGAUAACAUGCUCAGGAGCCAUAAUUUAAUCAUAUAGUAUGUAUAUAUAUAAUCAUAUAUAUACGUAUAAUGGUGUGUGUGUGUGUGUGUAAAUACUCAGGUAUGUGCUCCAUUUGCCGGGUUGUUUAGCUUUUUCAGGAUUCAUCAGAGAGGCCCCAUGAAGUGUGCCCCGGAGCACUUACAAUCCUCAGUGCAUUGCUUGUAUCAUGCUUACAGCUUGUGGUUUCGACAGACGUCUCCAUUCUCUCUCACAAACACACAUGCACACAUUUGUAUACACUGACUUGUUUCUUGCCCUUCAGCACACAACACAGUGAGGUCGAGAUUGAGUUUUAGACACAGACCAUGUUAAAGGGUAAUUGCAUUGUUAAUCAAUGUCUCCACAAGCCAAAACGAUGCUCGGAUCAUCACAAACUGUUUCUCAGAUUUGUCUUUGACACAUAAAGUGGCGUUAUCUUCUCUCGGUGCGUUAUGCAUUGCCUAGUUCCCCUAGGGAGUAGUUAUGUCACUCAUUUAUCGAUAUAUCAAUUUUUCCUUCCUUUCAAUUUGUAUUUUGUAUUUCACCAGGGAGAUAGAGCGGAACCACGACUGACUCGUACUUGUAUGUAUUACUACAAAUGUCAUGUUGACGACACUACACAAUGCAGAUAUGAAUUUGGGUCGACAACUGUAUUGCAGCAAACACAUCAACUUAAUAUUGACAAGUAAUAAUAACUAACGAUAUGCAGUGAAGAUGGAGAGAGAGUCGUCUUGCAGACACUUUUUUUGGGUGAUCAUUUCUGACAUAUUUCUGACAGCAUUGAGAGAAAAGUUGACGAUGCACUGUGGGGACAUGCACCAGUGAACCAGAAAUUCACGCUCACUAAAGUUGUAUAUUAAUUUAUUCAUCCAUCUUUCGAACCGCUUCUCCAAUGAGGGUAGCGGGCCUGCAGGAGCCUAUCCCAGCAGUCACACCACCAAUUCUCAUGACAAAAUCAUAAAAUGAAACCAAUACUGUGCACAGCAAAAAUGCAAACCACGCAAGUAUUAUUGUGUUUGUUAAGACAAAGCUCCUUUUGAACUGAUCUUGUUGAAUGCUGUUCAGAUACUCUUCCAUGCCCCCUCACAUUAUCCCAAGUAGAGACCGGCAGAUCGUACUGUAAGUACCUGCUUGUCGCCAUGGUAACAGCGUCUGCCGAUUACUCAAAGCGAUAUGGGUAGGUCCUGGCUCUGUAGGUAAGGGUUUAUAAAGGUGAUAGGUAGAAUGCCUGCUCUCUGUCAUGUUGCCGUGGCCAGGAACCCUGCUUUAUCGCUUUGUAAAAGAUGUAAGUAGUAAACAAGUUGAAUAACAUAAAAUAACAUAAUAUAAUGUUAUUUAUGUUAUUUCCCACGUGAAGAACUCCUGUAAACCUUGCAGUAUUGAAACUCAGUGAACAAGGCAUCUUAGACAAGCUGAAAAACAAAUGGUGGUACGAUAAGGGUGAAUGUGGAACCAAGGACUCUGGAAGUAAGGACAAGACAAGUGCUCUCAGCCUAAGCAAUGUGGC
Molecule: RNA transcript, 5684 nt
Organism: Syngnathus typhle (broad-nosed pipefish)
Lineage: Eukaryota; Metazoa; Chordata; Actinopteri; Syngnathiformes; Syngnathidae
Gene: gria3b
Gene name: glutamate receptor, ionotropic, AMPA 3b
Exons: 15
Source: RefSeq, a predicted model, not a curated record